ACUCAAAGGAAUUGACGGGGGCCCGCACAAGCGGUGGAGCAUGUGGUUCAAUUCGACGCAACGCGAAGAACCUUACCUGGGCUUGAACUGCAGGUGACCGGUCUGGAAACAGGCCUUUCCCUCAAGGACACCUGCAGAGGUGCUGCAUGGCUGUCGUCAGCUCGUGUCGUGAGAUGUUGGGUUAAGUCCCGCAACGAGCGCAACCCUUGCCCCUAGUUGCCAUCGGGUCAUGCCGGGCACUCUAGGGGGACUGCCCCGGAAAACGGGGAGGAAGGUGGGGAUGACGUCAAGUCAUCAUGGCCUCUAUGUCCAGGGCUACACACGUGCUACAAUGGACGGCACAAAGGGCUGCGAACCCGCGAGGGGGAGCCAAUCCCACAAAUCCGUCCUCAGUUCGGAUUGCAGUCUGCAACUCGACUGCAUGAAGUUGGAAUCGCUAGUAAUCGCGGAUCAGCACGCCGCGGUGAAUACGUUCCCGGGCCUUGUACACACCGCCCGU
This 499-nucleotide ribosomal RNA is filed under the name uncultured bacterium. Its description in RNAcentral is "partial 16S ribosomal RNA". It matches the Rfam family "Bacterial small subunit ribosomal RNA", at positions 899 to 1397 of the family's 1533-position model. The record is from RNAcentral.